CUAAAAUGGUGAUGGUUACUC
This 21-nucleotide non-coding RNA is filed under the name Arabidopsis thaliana (thale cress). Lineage: Eukaryota; Viridiplantae; Streptophyta; Magnoliopsida; Brassicales; Brassicaceae. The record is from RNAcentral.